GACGAACGCUGGCGGUGUGCUUAACACAUGCAAGUCGAACGGCAAGGCCCUGCUUUUGUGGGGUGCUCGAGUGGCGAACGGGUGAGUAUCACGUGAGUAACCUGCCCUUGACUUUGGGAUAACUUCAGGAAACGGGGGCUACUACCGGAUAGGAGCUGCUGUUGCAUGGUGGGGGUUGGAAAGUUUCGGCGGGUGGGGAUGGACUCGCGGCUGAUGGGCUUGUUGGUUGGGGAGUUGCUUACCAAGGCAUUGACGGGUAGCCGGCCUGAGAGGGUGACCGGCCACAUGGGGACUGAGAUACGGCCCAGAGUCCUACGGGGGGCAGUAGUGGGGAAUAUUGCCCAAUGGGCGGAAGCCUGAUGCGGCAGCGCCGCGUGCGGGAUGACGGCCUUCGGGUUGUGAACCGCUUUCGCCUGUGACGAAGCGUGAGUGACGGUAAUGGGUAAAGAAGCACCGGCUAACUACGUG
This 468-nucleotide ribosomal RNA is filed under the name uncultured bacterium. Its description in RNAcentral is "partial 16S ribosomal RNA". It matches the Rfam family "Bacterial small subunit ribosomal RNA", at positions 28 to 507 of the family's 1533-position model. The record is from RNAcentral.